GUGCCGCUGCUGCUCCUAUUCCAUCGCUGCCUCCUGUUCCAGUGCCGCUGCUGCCCCUAUUCCAUCGCCGCCUCCUAUUCCAGCGCCGCUGCUGCCUGCCCAUCCUAUUUCUCCUUGCUGACGCCUCUCCAACGCCACCGCCCUAGCGUCCAUCCGUGGUGCUGCUUUGCUCCUUGUCAGGACAGGGGACCAAAGGCAAGGUGCAGGAAGGGAAGAGGAGAGAAAAGGGUGAAGUUAGGGUCUAGCAAAUUGCAGUCUCUUCCUAAAAUCAAGAUCUUCUCCGGACGGGUUCGAUAAAUUCUAGUGGCGAGCGUGUGAUGCCGAAUUCUCGGCAAGGUUAAGGCAAGUGCAAUGACGAACCUCUUGAUGUGUGAUUAUGUUUGUGGCUUUCUUGCUACCCUUGGGCGACAUUUAUUCAAUAUCUUUAUUUCAUAUGUCAAUUCCUUUAAGAAUCAUGUCAUAAUUUUCUGGUUCCAUCAAAUGUUUAAGAUCCGUGUGUUGCCUUUCAUAUUGUUCAAGUGCCGGGGGUUUGUAUAAACACCGGUUGUGCAAUUUGGUUCUUAUGUUCAGGUUCCUGUGAAUAAGUGCUGGCCCCACUUGUUCGGCUUUACCGGUAAAUGCUAAGAAAGUUUCAGGUGACGUCCGUUUCAGAUAGAAACUAUUGUUUCACUGUUGUUCCAUUAAUUUUGGAUUUCCAAUAUUCAUGUACUUGCAGUUAUUUUUUUCCGGUUCUGAAUUGUGCUUGCUGAGUAUUUUUACUUACUCUUGUGUUUAUCUGGUUUUAGGUACUCGCUGAUCAAGUUUGCAUGGGAUGGGAGUAGCCAAUUCAUGAUGAGCAUGCACACACUUUUGCCAUUCAUUAAACAAAUCUUUAGGCUGAAUAAUUCUUUGAUAGUGAGGAUUGUCACGUGAUCAUUUGGUUGUUACCUAAGAUUUAUUUUUUUCGGUUGUGUUGGUUGAUGACAAAGUCUAUUUACUAUCUUUAAAUUCUUUCUGCUA
Panicum virgatum (switchgrass) is the source of this 999-nucleotide long non-coding RNA. RefSeq lists it as uncharacterized. The transcript has 2 exons. The record is from RefSeq and is a predicted model, not a curated record. NCBI's taxonomy places the organism in Eukaryota, Viridiplantae, Streptophyta, Magnoliopsida, Poales, Poaceae.